UACGGAGGGCGCGAGCGUUAAUCGGAAUUACUGGGCGUAAAGCGCGCGUAGGCUGUUGUGUAAGUUGGGGGUGAAAUCCCACGGCUCAACCGUGGAACAGCCCUUGAUACUGCGCGACUUGAAUUCGGGAGAGGGUGGCGGAAUUCCAGGUGUAGGAGUGAAAUCCGUAGAUAUCUGGAGGAACAUCAGUGGCGAAGGCGGCCACCUGGACCGGUAUUGACGCUGAGGCGCGAAAGCGUGGGGAGCAAACAGG
Molecule: ribosomal RNA, 253 nt
Filed under: uncultured bacterium
Lineage: Bacteria
Description: partial 16S ribosomal RNA
Rfam family: Bacterial small subunit ribosomal RNA
Source: RNAcentral